AGACAUCCUAUAUCUUCAAGAUGGAAGGAAACUACAACAUAGCACCUUGAAGACACAGAACUGAAGCUGAAGUUUAAAGGAAAGAGGUGAUUUGUACAUAAAAGCACUUGGAAGGAAUUCUGCUGGGCCUGCUCGCAGAAGAUCAUCGGAGCCUGUUGACUUAUAGAAUGGAGGGCUGGAGCGGACCACGGGACCUCUCCAUGACUAUCCAACCAGUUGCAUACACUUCUGCCUAACUGUGAAGCCGCAUGUGCAUCCACUUCCUGUGGCUCCCUUAACCGCGUGCCACAGUCUGAGCAGCCUAAGAGGACAGUUCCACCGGACAGGUGUCAGAGUGACAAGGUCAGAGGGGCACACUCCAUGGCAGCUCCAGUAAGGACACUCCUCACCUCUCCUCAAUCCCGACAGUGGCUGGCGCUGCGCAUGCGCCUGUGGCUCCAUCACCUCUUCCUACUAGGGCCCCCGUCAUUGGAUCAACAGCCCCUUUAAUCACACUCAGCCUCAUCUUCAUUAAAUGC
Long non-coding RNA from Mus caroli (Ryukyu mouse), 518 nucleotides. RefSeq lists it as uncharacterized. The record is from RefSeq and is a predicted model, not a curated record. Lineage: Eukaryota; Metazoa; Chordata; Mammalia; Rodentia; Muridae.